UACGGAGGGUCCGAGCGUUAAUCGGAAUUACUGGGCGUAAAGCGCGCGUAGGCGGCUAUAUAAGUCAGAUGUGAAAUCCCUGGGCUCAACCUAGGAACUGCAUUUGAAACUGUAUGGCUAGAGUAUGGUAGAGGUGAGUGGAAUUUCAGGUGUAGCGGUGAAAUGCGUAGAGAUCUGAAGGAACAUCAGUGGCGAAGGCGACUCACUGGGCCAUUACUGACGCUGAGGUGCGAAAGCGUGGGUAGCAAACAGGAUUAGAUACCCUAGUAGUCC
Molecule: ribosomal RNA, 273 nt
Filed under: uncultured bacterium
Lineage: Bacteria
Description: partial 16S ribosomal RNA
Rfam family: Bacterial small subunit ribosomal RNA
Source: RNAcentral